UGGGUUGUGGCUCAGUGGUAGAGCGCUUGCCUAGCACAUGCAAGGCCUUGGGUUUGAUCCUCAGCACCACAU
Ictidomys tridecemlineatus (thirteen-lined ground squirrel) is the source of this 72-nucleotide non-coding RNA. The record is from Rfam. NCBI's taxonomy places the organism in Eukaryota, Metazoa, Chordata, Mammalia, Rodentia, Sciuridae.